GAGCUGUUCCUAAAUAAUCAAGCGGAGCUGCACGCUGCCGACUGGCUGUGUUCAAAUUGGGUCUGAGUUCCCGGGGUCCCCGAGGCCGCGGGGUCUGCUCGAUGGAGACGGCAGGACGAGAACAGCGUGUGAAAUAACAGGAUGCUGCGGAGUCGGCCGGCAGCCUGAGGGGCGGAUCCGUCGGCGGUGAUUGGCUCUGCUUGCGCGCCAAUGAGUACUAAUUCUGAGACCACGCUGUCGCCUGUCUGCCUGGUGCCGAAAAGACCCGCUUGGUUCCAGCGUGGGGUUCUGCAGCAGGGGGGCGCACCGAGGCAGUGCGUGACAGCGUGGUUUGACUGUGAGCAGUAAUGAGGCCCCGAGCUGCCGCCGCGCUGAGGAGACGCUUCGACGGCCGAGACAGGAGGAUGACCUUGUUGACCAUGAACACACACACGGAAAGCAUACUUAUCUUCUUCUGUAAAGUUCA
Molecule: long non-coding RNA, 466 nt
Organism: Gasterosteus aculeatus aculeatus (three-spined stickleback)
Lineage: Eukaryota; Metazoa; Chordata; Actinopteri; Perciformes; Gasterosteidae
Source: Ensembl